This 526-nucleotide long non-coding RNA is filed under the name Homo sapiens (human). RNAcentral's name for it is "HSALNT0208960". The record is from RNAcentral. Lineage: Eukaryota; Metazoa; Chordata; Mammalia; Primates; Hominidae.
CCUGCCUCAGCUUCCGGAGCAGCUGGGACUGCUGGCGCCCGCCACUACGCUCGGCUAAUUUUUUUGUGUUUUUAGUAGAGACGGGCUUUCACCGUGUUGGCCUAGCGGUUCUCCAACUCCUGACCUCAUGAUCCCCCCGCCUCAGCCUCCCAAAGUGCUGGGAUUACAAGCGUGAGCCACCGCGACCCGCCAACACUCUUGACAACAGUGCUGUGCUAAGAACUUGGGGGACUUCAAAAAGUUCACCAGUUCCUGUGUCCAUGGGUGAAAAGAUUUUCUACAUCUUUCCUUGACUAGAAACAGAAGUCCUGAAACAAGGUACACCUUCUUGAGGCUUACUUGAAUAUAACGUCAGGAGGCCAGAGGCUUUGUCCUGCCUAAUGUGUUAUUUCCACACUGAAUAAAAGCACCUGAGUCCUGGUCUCAGAGUGAGAACAAUGUCUUCUAUGAUGAGUGGCAAACACAACAAGGCAUUUUAAAAAGGUUGUACAUCUAGCAAUACCUAACAAAAUAGGAAAUCAACUUG